This 1368-nucleotide ribosomal RNA is filed under the name Nephroselmis pyriformis. Its description in RNAcentral is "partial Bacterial small subunit ribosomal RNA". It matches the Rfam family "Bacterial small subunit ribosomal RNA". The record is from RNAcentral. Lineage: Eukaryota; Viridiplantae; Chlorophyta; Nephroselmidophyceae; Nephroselmidales; Nephroselmidaceae.
GUUUGAUCCCGGCUCAGAAUGAACGCUAUCGGUAGGUCUAAGACAUGCAAGUUGAACGGUUAAAAAAUAAUUCGUAGCGAACGGGUGCGUAACACGUAGGUAUUUAUCAAAAAAUUUGGAGCAACUUUUCCAUCAUAAGAAAUCCCAAAUAAUAAAACAAAAGAUUAUAAAUCGUUUUUUGAAAAGCCUGCGUAAGAUUAGGUUGUUGGCAGUUUAAUAGACUACCAAGCCGAUGAUCUUUAGCUGAUUUGUGAAAAUGGUCAGCCACACUGGGAUUGAGAAAAGGCCCAGACUUUUUUUGAAGGCAGCAGUCAGGAAUCUUGGACAAUGAGCGAAAGCUUGAUCCAGCUAUAUCGAGUCAAGGAAUUAUUGAAGGUUAUUUUUGAUUGUAAACUUGAAAACUUAAAUUAAAAAUUAUGAUAUAUUUUAAGUGUAAGCCCCGGCUAAUUUCGUGCCAGCAGCCGCGGUAACACGGAAGGGGCAAGCGUUAUUCGGAUUGACUGGGCGUAAAGGGUGCGUAGGCUGGUAGUUGGGUUAGUAGUUAAAUCCCCAAGCACAACUUGGGUUUCGCUAUUAAAACCUUCAUACCUAGAGUACUAACUAGGAAAGUAGAAUUGCGAGUGGAGCGGUAGAAUGCUUAGAUAUUCGCAGGAAUACCAAAUGCGAAGGCAGCUUUCUUGUUUUUAAACUGACGCUGAGGCACGAAAGCACAGGUAGCAAGGCGGAUUAGAUACCCGUUUAGUCUGUUUGCUGUAAACGAUGAGUGUUCAUUUUUUGAAGCUUUAGUUUUAAGAAAUUAAGCAAACGCAUUAAACACUCCGCCUGGGGAGUACAAUCGCAAGAUUGAAACUCAAGGGAAUUGACGGGGGCUCGCACAAGCGGUGGAACAUGUGGUUUAAUUCGAAACAACGCGCAGAACCUUACCAGUGUUUGCAUUUUUUAGCAAAAGAUAAAUGUUAUAAUUUCAUCUUUGAUAACAAACAGGAGCUACAUAGCUGUCGUCAGUUCGUGUCGUGAGAUGUAUGGUUUAUUCCUAUAACGAACGCAACCCUCUUAUUUAAUAUACUAUGAUUGGUUAAUUAAAUAAACUGUCUGCAAUAAGCAAGAAAGAAGGAGAGGACAACGUCAAGUCCGUAUGGCCCUUAUGCGCUGGGCUACACACGUGUUACAUUGGCGAAUACAAACAGAGGCAAAGAUGCAAAUCGAAGCAAAUCUUCAAAAAUCGCCGUGUUCGGAUUGUUCUCUGCAACUCGAGAGCAUGAAGUUGGAAUCGCUAGUAAUCGUGGAUCAGCAUGCCACGGUGAAUACGUUCCCGGGCCUUGUACACACCGCCCGUCACAUCAUGGGAAUUGGUUCUACCCGAAGACG